Molecule: ribosomal RNA, 1562 nt
Filed under: uncultured Spirochaetota bacterium
Lineage: Bacteria; Pseudomonadati; Spirochaetota
Description: bacterial SSU rRNA
Rfam family: Bacterial small subunit ribosomal RNA
Source: RNAcentral
ACGAACGCUGGCGGCGCGUCUUAAGCAUGCAAGUCGAGCGAUAAUCGGGGGCAACUCCGAUGAAAGCGGCGGACUGGUGAGUAACGCGUGGAUAACCUGCCUUGAGGCUGGGGAUAGCCGUUAGAAAUAGCGGGUAAUACCGAAUACGAUCGUCCGGCCGCCUGACCACUAAAGGAACAGCUGUAGCUAUGGAAAGUCUCUGAGAGUAAAGUUAUUAGAGAUUUUUAGUAGUGACAGGUGAAAUUAAGAAGAUUUUAGUGGUCAGGCGGUUGGAUGAGGAAAGGAGCUAAGGCUCCGCCUUAAGAGGGGUCCGCGUCCCAUUAGCUAGUUGGUGGUGUAACGGAUCACCAAGGCGAAGAUGGGUAGCCGGCCUGAGAGGGUGAACGGCCACACUGGGACUGAGAUACGGCCCAGACUCCUACGGGAGGCAGCAGCUAAGAAUAUUCCGCAAUGGGCGAAAGCCUGACGGAGCGACGCCGCGUGAACGAGGAAGGCCGAAAGGUUGUAAAGUUCUUUUGCGGAUGAAGAAUAAGCGGCGGAGGGAAUGCCGUCGCGAUGACGCAAGUCCGCGAAUAAGCCCCGGCUAAUUACGUGCCAGCAGCCGCGGUAACACGUAAGGGGCGAGCGUUGUUCGGAAUUAUUGGGCGUAAAGGGCGCGUAGGCGGUUAUAUAAGUCCGGCGUGAAAUACAUGAGCUUAACUCAUGGGCUGCGCUGGNAACUGAAUAACUAGAGUCACGGAGGGGGAAUCGGAAUUCCUGGUGUAGGNGUGAAAUCUGUAGAUAUCAGGAAGAACACCGGUGGCGAAGGCGGAUUUCCAGCCGAUGACAGACGCUGAGGCGCGAAAGUGCGGGGAGCAAACAGGAUUAGAUACCCUGGUAGUCCACGCCCUAAACGAUGAACGCUAGCCGCAAGGGCUUCGACCUUUUUGGGGCGCAGCUAACGCAUUAAGUGAACCACCUGGGGAGUACGUGCGCAAGCAUGAAACUCAAAGGAAUUGACGGGGGCCCGCACAAGCAGUGGAGUAUGUGGUUUAAUUCGAAGCAACGCGAAGAACCUUACCGGGUCUUGACAUGGGGACGACAGGCGUAGAGAUACGCCCUUCUUCGGACGUCCCACACAGGUGGUGCAUGGUUGUCGUCAGCUCGUGUCGUGAGAUGUUGGGUUAAGUCCCGCAACGAGCGCAACCCUUAUUAUUAGUUGCUACGAAGAAAGAGCACUCUAAUGAGACUGCCGUUGGCAAAACGGAGGAAGGUGGGGAUGACGUCAAAUCAUCAUGCCCUUUAUGACCCGGGCUACACACGUACUACAAUGGCGUUUAACAAUGAGCUGCGAACCCGCGAGGGCAAGCGAAUCUCCAAAAAGCGCCUCAGUUCGGAUUGCAGGCUGCAACUCGCCUGUAUGAAGCUGGAAUUGCUAGUAAUCGCGCAUCAGCAUGGCGCGGUGAAUACGUUCCCGGGCCUUGUACACACCGCCCGUCACACCAUCCGAGUUGGAGGUACCCGAAGCCGGUAGUCUAACUGAAAAGAGGACGCUGUCGAAGGUACGUUUAGUGAGGAGGGUG